RNAcentral lists this ribosomal RNA (253 nucleotides) under uncultured bacterium. Its description in RNAcentral is "partial 16S ribosomal RNA". It matches the Rfam family "Bacterial small subunit ribosomal RNA", at positions 524 to 775 of the family's 1533-position model. The record is from RNAcentral.
UACGUAGGGGGCAAGCGUUGUCCGGAUUUACUGGGCGUAAAGCGCACGUAGGCGGCUUUGUAAGUUAGAGGUAAAAGCCCGGGGCUCAACCCCGGAAUUGCCUUUAAGACUGCAUCGCUUGAAUCCAGGAGAGGUGAGUGGAAUUCCGAGUGUAGAGGUGAAUUCGUAGAUAUUCGGAAAGAACACCAGUGGCGAAGGCGGCUCACUGGACUGGUAUUGACGCUGAGGUGGCGAAAGCGUGGGGAGCAACAGG